Non-coding RNA from Cherax quadricarinatus, 1506 nucleotides. NCBI's taxonomy places the organism in Eukaryota, Metazoa, Arthropoda, Malacostraca, Decapoda, Parastacidae. The record is from RefSeq and is a predicted model, not a curated record.
UAGCAACAUGUUAUAAAAUAUUCUUGCCACGUGGAUUGUUAAUUUCUAUUUUAUAGUUUUUAAUUUUUAAUAUUUCUAGAUGUAAUAAUCUCGGUGUUUCCAUCUCGCACAGUUCAUCAUAGCUUAAGGCUGUAUUAUGGUGCUAUUUAAUAUUUAUGAAUUAUUUUAAUGCUGAAUCAUUCUUGUAUUUGUUAAUAAUGUUAUUUAAUGUGUGGAUGUUGUAGGGUGACGGAGGUGCUCCACUGGUGUGCAGGCCUGAAGGUGGAGGCUGGACAGUAGUAGGUCUGGUAGCCUGGGGUAUCGGCUGUGCUAGUAGUGAGGUGCCAGGUGUCUAUGUCAGUGUUCCUGCCUUUGCUAACUUCAUCCGUCAACAUGUAAGAGACUAAAACGCGGUGACGACCCUGGCAGUGACUACUGGCGUCUGACUACCUUGGCAGUGACUACCAGCGUCUGAAUACCCUGGCAGUGACUACUACCGUCUGAUUACCCUGGCAGUGACUACUAGCGUCUGACUACCCUGGCAGUGACUACUAGCGUCUGAUUACCCUGGCAGUGACUACUAGCGUCUGACUACCCUGGCAGUGACUACUAGCGUCUGACUACCCUGGCAGUGACUACUAGCGUCUGACUACCCUGGCAGUGACUACUAACGUCUGAUUACCCUGGCAGUGACUACCAGCGUCUGACUACCCUGGCAGUGACUACUACCGUCUGAUUACCCUGGCAGUGACUACUAGCGUUUUGACUACCCUGGCAGUGACUACUGGCGUCUGACUACCCUGGCAGUGACUACAGGCGUCUGACUACUCUGGGAGUGACUACUGGCGUCUGACUACCUUGGCAGUGACUACCAGCGUCUGACUACCCUGGCAGUGACUACUACCGUCUGAUUACCCUGGCAGUGACUACUAUCGUCUGACUACCCUGGCAGUGACUACUGGCGUCUGACUACCCUGGCAGUGACUACUGGCGUCUGACUACCCUGGCAGUGACUACUGGCGUCUGACUACCCUGGCAGUGACUACUGGCGGUCUGACUACCCUGGCAGUGACUACUGGCGUCUGACUACCCUGGCAGUGACUACUGGCGUCUGACUACCCUGGCAGUGACUACUGGCGUCUGACUACCCUGGGAUGCAGCCUCGUCCACCAACCAUUCUCGUCAGUCUUCAUGUUAGGCUUCCUAAAUUUAUAUAAUUUUACUUAAUAUCAAUAAAAACCAUUAAUUUCGUGAUGUUCAGACCUUUGUGGAAUUUGUGUAGCAAACAUUUUAUACAAGUCUUAUUUAUCAAAACAAUUGUUGCUUUGUAGCCAAAACCGCAAAUUUUCCCUACAAAGUCGGUGAUCAUCGUACACUUGCUGGAUUACUGAGUCACUCAACACUCACUACAGAAUGAUCAUGUAAGGUCUUGGAGUGAACACUGGGAAUACAAACUUUUUUUGUAACUACGUUGCACAAUUAACAACAGUUGUUGUUUAAUAGUGUAUAAAUAAAAUUGUCUCUACA